UGUAAUUGUAAAUAAUCAAAAAUCUAAAAAGCAACACUUACUUUAUCAAAUGUUCUGAGGUGUUUCUCCUUUUUUUUUUUUUAGAUUUUUUGAAAAUUUAUUUAUUCGUGAGAGACAGAGAGAAGGAGGCAGAGACACACAGGCAGAGAGAGAAGCAGGCUCCAUGCAGGGAGCCUGAUGCAGGACUCGAUCCCAGGACUCCAGGAUCACACCCGGGCCGAAGGCUGGCACUCAACCGCUGAGCCAUCCAGGUGUCCCUGAGCUGCUUCUCUUGAAGAGAUGUAUAUGUCUAUGGCUCAAUGUUAGGAUUUCUUCCUCUAUAAUGUUGGUGACACAGACAGAAAUCACUCAUCUGUGAGCUGACCCUGGGAAGAUAGAGCCAUCCUGUUGGUCUGUUCGAGAGUUGAAGGCAUUAAGGACAAAGACUCCCACUUAGACUGAAAUGUGGAGGAAUGACUUCUGAAAGGUGACAUCGUGGGGAAGUAGAGGCAGUCUGGAGUCACGUGCAACGUGCCCCGUGAUCCCAUCUUUGAAUAUGGAGUUGACAGGUGAGAACAAGUGCUCUCCAUGGUCUUCUGCCCUGAAAAUCAGAAGACUUUGCAAACUGGGGAUUUCUCUGAUUGCACUGGGCUUUUGCACAAGCUGGAAACAUGUGUGCCUGCUUCAACCACCAGCUGUCUACAACAAGAUCAAGGUCCUUUUCUCAGACAUAUAAGGAUGGAUCAAUAUUCAUGUCAACCAAACUGCAAUUUGAUUAGCACUGUGUUAGGAUCUAGAGGGGACACAAAAGUCUCAGAUGAAAUCAUGUAAGCACAACACAAGUCCUAGCACAGUGCCAGUCAAGGAGAAAUGAUUUGAAGAUUGAGAGAUGCUUCUAAGGCAUAUUGUUUUCUGUGUCUAUUGUGUGGAGCAUGUGACUAACAUUUUCUGGCAUGUAAUUUCCUAUCCCUAUAAUACUUUCC
Molecule: long non-coding RNA, 962 nt
Filed under: Vulpes vulpes (red fox)
Lineage: Eukaryota; Metazoa; Chordata; Mammalia; Carnivora; Canidae
Description: lncRNA (ENSVVUG00000012723.1)
Source: RNAcentral